Molecule: ribosomal RNA, 1657 nt
Filed under: Salmonella enterica subsp. enterica serovar Paratyphi A
Lineage: Bacteria; Pseudomonadati; Pseudomonadota; Gammaproteobacteria; Enterobacterales; Enterobacteriaceae
Description: bacterial SSU rRNA
Rfam family: Bacterial small subunit ribosomal RNA
Source: RNAcentral
ACGAAAAAUGAAUACCAAGUCUCAAGAGUGAACACGUAAUUCAUUACGAAGUUUAAUUCUUUGAGCAUCAAACUUUUAAAUUGAAGAGUUUGAUCAUGGCUCAGAUUGAACGCUGGCGGCAGGCCUAACACAUGCAAGUCGAACGGUAACAGGAAGCAGCUUGCUGCUUUGCUGACGAGUGGCGGACGGGUGAGUAAUGUCUGGGAAACUGCCUGAUGGAGGGGGAUAACUACUGGAAACGGUGGCUAAUACCGCAUAACGUCGCAAGACCAAAGAGGGGGACCUUCGGGCCUCUUGCCAUCAGAUGUGCCCAGAUGGGAUUAGCUUGUUGGUGAGGUAACGGCUCACCAAGGCGACGAUCCCUAGCUGGUCUGAGAGGAUGACCAGCCACACUGGAACUGAGACACGGUCCAGACUCCUACGGGAGGCAGCAGUGGGGAAUAUUGCACAAUGGGCGCAAGCCUGAUGCAGCCAUGCCGCGUGUAUGAAGAAGGCCUUCGGGUUGUAAAGUACUUUCAGCGGGGAGGAAGGUGUUGUGGUUAAUAACCGCAGCAAUUGACGUUACCCGCAGAAGAAGCACCGGCUAACUCCGUGCCAGCAGCCGCGGUAAUACGGAGGGUGCAAGCGUUAAUCGGAAUUACUGGGCGUAAAGCGCACGCAGGCGGUCUGUCAAGUCGGAUGUGAAAUCCCCGGGCUCAACCUGGGAACUGCAUUCGAAACUGGCAGGCUUNNNNNNNNNNNNNNNNNNNNGUAGCGGUGAAAUGCGUAGAGAUCUGGAGGAAUACCGGUGGCGAAGGCGGCCCCCUGGACAAAGACUGACGCUCAGGUGCGAAAGCGUGGGGAGCAAACAGGAUUAGAUACCCUGGUAGUCCACGCCGUAAACGAUGUCUACUUGGAGGUUGUGCCCUUGAGGCGUGGCUUCCGGAGCUAACGCGUUAAGUAGACCGCCUGGGGAGUACGGCCGCAAGGUUAAAACUCAAAUGAAUUGACGGGGGCCCGCACAAGCGGUGGAGCAUGUGGUUUAAUUCGAUGCAACGCGAAGAACCUUACCUGGUCUUGACAUCCACGGAAGUUUUCAGAGAUGAGAAUGUGCCUUCGGGAACCGUGAGACAGGUGCUGCAUGGCUGUCGUCAGCUCGUGUUGUGAAAUGUUGGGUUAAGUCCCGCAACGAGCGCAACCCUUAUCCUUUGUUGCCAGCGGUCCGGCCGGGAACUCAAAGGAGACUGCCAGUGAUAAACUGGAGGAAGGUGGGGAUGACGUCAAGUCAUCAUGGCCCUUACGACCAGGGCUACACACGUGCUACAAUGGCGCAUACAAAGAGAAGCGACCUCGCGAGAGCAAGCGGACCUCAUAAAGUGCGUCGUAGUCCGGAUUGGAGUCUGCAACUCGACUCCAUGAAGUCGGAAUCGCUAGUAAUCGUGGAUCAGAAUGCCACGGUGAAUACGUUCCCGGGCCUUGUACACACCGCCCGUCACACCAUGGGAGUGGGUUGCAAAAGAAGUAGGUAGCUUAACCUUCGGGAGGGCGCUUACCACUUUGUGAUUCAUGACUGGGGUGAAGUCGUAACAAGGUAACCGUAGGGGAACCUGCGGUUGGAUCACCUCCUUACCUUAAAGAACUGUUCUUUGCAGUGCUCACACAGAUUGUCUGAUGAAAA